GAUUUAUUGAUCAUGGCUCAGAUUGACCGCUGGCGUGACAAGGCCUAACACAUGCAAGUCGAGCGGAUGAUGGGAGCUUGCUCCCGGAUUCAGCGGCGGACGGGUGAGUAAUGCCUAGGAAUCUGCCUGGUAGUGGGGGACAACGUUUCGAAAGGAACGCUAAUACCGCAUACGUCCUACGGGAGAAAGCAGGGGACCUUCGGGCCUUGCGCUAUCAGAUGAGCCUAGGUCGGAUUAGCUAGUUGGUGGGGUAAAGGCCUACCAAGGCGACGAUCCGUAACUGGUCUGAGAGGAUGAUCAGUCACACUGGAACUGAGACACGGUCCAGACUCCUACGGGAGGCAGCAGUGGGGAAUAUUGGACAAUGGGCGAAAGCCUGAUCCAGCCAUGCCGCGUGUGUGAAGAAGGUCUUCGGAUUGUAAAGCACU
Molecule: ribosomal RNA, 428 nt
Filed under: uncultured bacterium
Lineage: Bacteria
Description: bacterial SSU rRNA
Rfam family: Bacterial small subunit ribosomal RNA
Source: RNAcentral